UGUCGGGAGUUAAGAAAUGCAAGGAUGUUAAUAGCAUCUUUGUUUGACUAAGGCUCCGGAGGAAGCCACGGCUAACUCUGUGCCAGCAGCCGCGGUAAUACAGAGGCGGCAAGCGUUGUUCGGAAUUAUUGGGCGUAAAGAGCACGUAGGCGGCUGUGUAAGUCGGUUGUGAAAGCCUUCCGCUUAACGGAAGAACGGCAUCCGAUACUGCAUAGCUCGAGUGCGGGAGGGGAGAGUGGAACUUCUGGUU
This 250-nucleotide ribosomal RNA is filed under the name uncultured bacterium. RNAcentral's name for it is "partial 16S ribosomal RNA". It matches the Rfam family "Bacterial small subunit ribosomal RNA", at positions 434 to 675 of the family's 1533-position model. The record is from RNAcentral.